Mycena metata is the source of this 83-nucleotide non-coding RNA. The record is from the annotation of a GenBank genome assembly. NCBI's taxonomy places the organism in Eukaryota, Fungi, Basidiomycota, Agaricomycetes, Agaricales, Mycenaceae.
AGCAGUAUGGUGUAUUGCUGAACGCGGGGUAUCUGUAAAAUCCCAUUGACCCCGAGGCCCUUGUUCGAUUCAAGGUGCUGCUU